CAAGAAGACAUUCAUAACUGGUUCCAUGGUACAGUUUGAUGAUGGAUGAUCCUUGAGAUGAAAUCCAAACUCCUAAUCCAGAGUUUACCAUGUUCAGAACAAUCUUUUCCGGAUCGCUGUUGACUUGGAAUGAUUUCUGUGAAUGGUCAAUUUGAAGACGCCAUAGGUGGUUGAUUGAACCAAAAAGAAACCUACCUCGACUUCCAUGGUCGAAGUCGCGAUGACUUUGAUUUGAUUAGCAGCCGAGCACCAAAGUUUACCAGCAACCUGUAAAAGCUUAUAAAUGGGACCGCUGUCUAUGGUAAAUAGCUUAUAAUCCGCUGUUGACCAAGUACCAUUUGAGUCUGGUUGGAAGACAACAAUCUGGCCGUUAGAUAAACCUGAAUAAACGUUUUUUUCCAUGUAUCUAGAAUCAAGAGAAUGGAGAAGAAAAAUAAAUGAAUAAAUAAUGGAUAUGAUGAAAUGAUCAGGAGAUAUGAAAUUAGCGUUAGUAAUGAAACGGAAUCACAAGGACUAAAAGUGAAGGAAGACAAGUUAGGUUUUGAAACAGAGUUGGCCCUACAAAUGAGACUUUCAUCUUGAGAUUCAAAUUAUAUGGAAAGAAUUGUGAUUGUCUAUGAAUUGUACGCUUAAGGAUGGUUACCGUGAAUGAUGAUGCUGGUAGUUUGAACAAAUAUAAAUGCUAAUGGAAAAGAUUUAUUGAUUAUUCUAUUGUUGUGUAAACUAUCAGCUUGACCCAUAACCAAUGAAUUGAUAAAAGGGAUAUUAAAUUUAAUAAUAAUGAUGCUGCUGAUGGAUAUGAGUCAAUGAAGAAGAUACAAAGAAAGUCACCAAGGUGGUCCAUACAAUUACUAAAACAAACAUGGUGGUUAACAUGAUUUUAUAUAUUCAACUAUCUCAUCUCAUUUAAAUCUGUAUCAUUGCUUAUUAAAAUGAGGCUAACCAGAUAAAUCCAUUAGGUUUUGGUGAAAAUUGUCUCAACAAUCAAGAUGAAACAUGCAACAAUUUUACCAUCUUCCGUUGGUUCCCUAUUUCUCAAUCGGAUUGCUACCAGUUUAACCUAAUUCUUAGCUCCAGUUAAUCACAUGCAAGUCAUCUACUGAUUUCCAAUCAUCAUAAAGCUCAAAGAAGGUGAAAUAUAAAGGCAAAUGUGAGAACGCUAAUCACCAUUAGUGACCAACUAAGAAUUCCCUGGCUAUUAUUGUUAAUUCAGUUGAUUUAUUCAUCAAACUCAUCAUCAAGCUAAAAACAUCAUCACACAAAAAGUCUAUGAAUGAUAAAUCUACAUGAAAAAGCCGAUGGAUGUAAUUAAUUCAGUGAAAAAAAAGGUUCAUAAGAUUAUUAGUUAAUAGUCUGUAUUAU
This is a non-coding RNA of Tetranychus urticae (two-spotted spider mite), 1362 nucleotides long. NCBI's taxonomy places the organism in Eukaryota, Metazoa, Arthropoda, Arachnida, Trombidiformes, Tetranychidae. The record is from RefSeq and is a predicted model, not a curated record.